Molecule: transfer RNA, 71 nt
Filed under: Ovis aries (sheep)
Lineage: Eukaryota; Metazoa; Chordata; Mammalia; Artiodactyla; Bovidae
Also listed under: 3 other names
Rfam family: tRNA
About the family: Transfer RNA (tRNA) molecules are approximately 80 nucleotides in length. Their secondary structure includes four short double-helical elements and three loops (D, anti-codon, and T loops).
Source: Rfam by way of RNAcentral
UCCUGGUGGCUCAGAUAGUAAAGAAUCUGCCUGCAAUGCAGGAGGCCCAGGUUCAAUCCCUGGGUCGGGAA